This is a long non-coding RNA of Ostrea edulis (European flat oyster), 5901 nucleotides long. RefSeq lists it as uncharacterized. NCBI's taxonomy places the organism in Eukaryota, Metazoa, Mollusca, Bivalvia, Ostreida, Ostreidae. The record is from RefSeq and is a predicted model, not a curated record. The transcript has 2 exons.
CAAUGUCAGGAGAGCUUUUGUUAUUUGUUAUACUCUUAGUGUUGAUGGUAUCUAUGAACAACAGGAUAAUGUUUUUAGAUUAUUAUUUCUGAUAUCAUAUUUGUAAAUUGUUUAUGAGGGGUUGUUAAAGUUUGUGGACAAAAGGACACACUUAUUAAAAAUUCAAAGUUAUGAUAAGUAAAAAAUAUAGGAGAUGUGUAACAAGAUUGUAGAUUUGAACAUUUUAAUUUUAAUUAAUUUUUAUAAGUAUUGAUUUCAGAUACAUGUAUGACAUUGCAUGCUUGAUCGGGGAGGGGGGCUACAGUUAGAUAAUAUUCUGGUCAGCACAUUCGAUAAACUACAGUUGUACAUGGAACUCAUUAAAUCACUUCUUUUUCUUUCAGUGGUCUUCAACUUUUAAUCUCUAAGAAGGAAAUGUAAUUAAAAGAUGAAUAAAGUAUCCAUAAGAAUACCAGAAGAAAGGCUGUGUUGAGAAAAACAGCCCUUCCUCAGUACAUCAGAACUAGAUGAUAGCCCUUGUUACUUUAUGCUGAAUAUGACACAGUAUAGAAGAUCUGAUCAUGAAGAAGUUACACCAUUGAUACACUUGCCAACUGCCAAAACUACUUUCUGAUAGUAUGACGAGAUUAGAAGAUAUCAUGGUGUAGUCAUGACACAAACUGCAAAUCAAAGAUUGUCUUCCCCAGAGGAUGAACAGAGUGCUUCACAUGGAUAACAUUUCCUUUUCGACUUUUGAAAUUAGUAAGUAUACAAAAUAUUUUAGGCCACAUAGUCAUAAAAUUAUUUUUUAGAUUUCCAUCCUUGCUUGGAAAAAAAUGGGGCAGGUGGUGUAUUUUUUAUUUUUCAGAAUAUAUAUUUCCCGUUCAUUAUACUCGCAUGUUGCUGAAGAGUGUAGAUUACUUCAUAUAUUUUUUUACAUUGUUUUCUUUGGACAGAAAAUUUUCAUACAGCAAUAUUAUAAUUGUUUUUAAGUGAUUUUGAAGUACAUUUUCAUGUAACACUGAAGUUGAACAUUCUUUUGCGCUUUUUUUGAAUAAUAGUAAUUUUUAGCUCACCUGAGCUGAAAGUUUAAAUGAGCUUUUCCAAUCCCCUGUUGUCCGUCUGUCUGUAAACUUUCACAUUUCUGACUUCUUCUCAAGAACCACUGGGCCAAUUUCAACCAAACUUGACAAAAAGCAUCCUUUGUGAAGGGCUUUCAAGUUUGUUCAAAUAAAGGGCCACACCCCCUUUCAAAGGGAAUAUAGAAUUACAAAAUUGCAAAAAUAGGGUUGGGUCAUUUAAAAAUUUUCCCCUAAAGAACCACUGGGCCAGAAGAGCUGAAAUUUACAUGAAAGCUUCCUGACAUAGUGUAGAUUGAAGUUUGUUCAAAUCAUGACCCCCAUAGGUAGGAUGGGGCCACAAUAGGGGAUCAAAUAUUUUACAUACAAAUAUAAAGGUAAAAUCUUUAAAAAUCAUCUUCUCAAGAAACACUGGGCUAGGAAAGUACAAAUUUACAUAAAAACUUCCUGACAUAGUGCAGAUUCAGGUUUGUUAAAAUCAUGACCCCCUGGGGUAGAAUGGGGCCAUAAAAAUCUUCUUCUCAAGAACCAUUAGGCCAGAGCAGUUUACAUAAUUUACAUGAAAGCUUCCUGACAUACAGCUCUGUAGUGCAGAUUCAAGUUUGUAAAAAUAAAAUUUCGAAAAGGUGUCGCUGUGUUUGGUGUAAUUUUUGUUCGUUCUGCACAAACUUGCUCACUCAGCUUGACACAGCCUAGGUGUUCAUAUGUAAAUUUUUUAUUUUUCGUAACUUAAAAUGUCGUGUAGCAAUGGUGGCCAGAUCAAAUUUUCAUUCCAAUGUUAUAAUAGGACUAGACAUGGGUAUCAUUUUGCACAGUCUAUGCGAAAGACAUCGGACCGUCGGACCUGACCGAUGUGCAGUGCCUCAGGUCCGAUGUGUCAUUUUUUACACCGGACCGGAAUGUCCGAUGUCUCAGUAUUCGGUUUUAAGCUUUAUUAUUUUGACGCGGAGUCAAUUAAAUGUUUGUUGUAAGUAAAAAAUAUCACACAAAUCCAAAUACGUAAAUGAAUGUGAUUAAACCGCAUGGACCGUCUAAAGUAUUAUGCGGGAGGGAUCCCUGGUAUAGUAUUACUAGUAUAAUAAAUAAGAUUUCCUUGGUUUUACAUUUUCACAUGUUUCUCUUUUUUACAUUAGGUUUUUCGGUCUGACAAAAUUUGGUUCGGUCCGGUGUGUUCAUUGAUUACACAGGACCGAAUGUCCUGUGUGGUCCAAAAAACUUUCGUAUAGACUGUUUGCAUACAAUUUAAAGUAUGUUUUUGCAUAUACACAUUUUUCUAAUGCCUGUACACAUUGAAUUAUUAAACACCAGGCACGUCCUCCUAUCCCCUUUACAAGCUAUGUUUGUGUGGGGUUUUUUGGAGUUAGAUUUUAGGUAGGAGAAAUCAUGGCCCCGUGAGUAGGUUGGGCCACAAUACUUAAAUAGGGAUCAAAGUUUUAGAAGCGAAUAUGUAGAACAAAUCUUUAAAUAUGGGCCAAGGUGAAUCAGGUGAGCGAUGUGGCCCAUGGGCCUCUUGUUUGAAUAUACAGUUUAUGCAGGAUCAGGAUAUGCCAUUGCCGUAUCCGCUAAUUAAUGAGUCAUAAUUACCAUCAUUGUACCACAAAGCAACAGUCACUGUACUGUAGUUCUUUUGCUUAACAUUAUUCAAUUCAGUUUGCCAUCAUCUUCUUCUAGUCUAAGACACGCACACUCAAUAAUAAAAGUUCCAAACACAGAAUUGGGAAAUGGCAUGGUAUCGCAUACUUUCACAUUCAAUAGCAUCUCCAUUAAUCAAUUUUAACAAGGCAUACAUGUGCAGUCACUUGACCAAAUGCAUAUCACACUGCAACAGUCCUUCACAACUACCACAUCUUUGGGUACCCUUAUAAUAGAAACAUGUCAAAUAUAACCACAACAAGCCAAAAUGUUAGGGUCAGUCAUUGAAAUGCUCUAAAUGUUUGAUAUACAAGCCAAAUAUUUGUUCUCAACUUCUUUUUUUAAAAAAAAAGGUAGAAUAAAAAACAAUGGGGUGGAUAAUUUUGAGAGGGGUGGGCGUGGAUGAUAAUCUGUAACUAUGAAAUUCUAUGUGGCCUUAAGUACAGUAAAUAUGAAAGCAGAUCUUAGUAUUUAACAAUUUUGUUGAUCCAUAAUUUAUUUACAGAUUUUAUAUGAUCUUAUUUUGUAUAAUUAAAAUCUUAGAUGAUAUGUGUAGAAUAAUUAUAUCAUUUAGCAAAAUGUAAUGAUUUGUAAACUAUAGAUACAUAUACAUGUAGUAAAUUUGUGUAACAAUUAAUACAUUCAACACAAAAAUGAAUUUGCAUAUUUUAAUUUAUUUUUAGCUCACCUGAACCAAACGUUCAAGUGAGCUUUUCUGAUCACAUUUUGUCUGUCGUCUGUCUGUCCGUCUGUAAACUUUUCACAUUUUCGACUUCUUCUCCAGAACCACUGGGCCAAUUUCAACCAAACUUGGCCAAAAACAUCCUUGGGUGAAGGGCUUUCAAGUUUGUUCAAAUGAAGGGCCAUGUCCCUUUCAAGGGGGAGAUAAUCACAAAAAUAGGUUGGGGUCAUUUAAAAAUCUUCUUCUCAAGAACCACUGGGCCAGAAGAGCUGAAAUUUACCUGAAAGCUUCCUGACAUAUUGCAGAUUCAAGUUUGUUCAAAUCAUGACCCCCGGGGGUAGGAUGGGGCCACAAGGGGGGAUCAAAGUUUUACAUACAAAUAUAUAGGGAAAAACUUUAAAAAUCUUCUUCUCAAGAACCACUAAGCCAGAAAAGCUGAGGUCAAAAAUAAACAUUGAUUUGUUUGAUGUACUCCGACCGACCAAUCAAAUUUGCUCCUACCCGACCAUUUUUUCCAGCAAUUUAAAACUUUUUUUUGGGGGGGGGGGUCCCUUGAAAAAUAGAAAAUUCUCCUUAUUCUAAAAGAAAAUAUUACAAAUUUUCAUGACGUUAAACCCCCCCCCCCAAAAAAAAAAAACCUACCUACCGACCCACCUUGAAAAAUGUGAGUCAGAGUAUAUCAAACAAAAAUAUUUUUAAUGAUGGCCUGAGAUUUACAUGAAAGCUACCUGACAUAAUGCAGAUUCAAGUUUGUUCAAAUCAUGGGCCCCGGGGGUUGGAUGGGGCCACAAUAGGGGAUCAAAGUUUUACAUACAAAUAUAUAUGAAAAAUCUUUAAAUAUCUUCUUCUCAAGAACCACUGAGCCAGAAAAACUGAUUUUUACAUGAAAACUUUCUGACAUAGUGCAGAUUCAAGUUUGUUCAAAUCAUGGCCCCCGGGGGUAGGAUGGGGCCACAAUUGGGGGGGGGGACCCCAUCAGUAAGCACGCCCCCUACUUCUGGUGUAAUGGCAGUAACUGCAAAAAUGAAGGCCAUUGUGUACAAUACUUCAUUAUCAUUUAAUGUUGUUCACGUUCUUCUGACCCAGGGAUCGAAUAUUUUCCUACAAUUUACAGUGGAUCAAAGAGAAUUGUUUUAUAGUUUUUUUCUUCUUUAUGCAUAUAUGACCCAGUAUGUCUCUGCAGAGCACAGAUCUACAUCUGGCAUUUUCUAAUUACUUAAUGUUCACUAUUUUUAGCGAUCAAUUAAGUUUUUUAAAAUUAGUUUUUCAGUCAAAAUUAGCAUAAAUAUAAAUCUAUAGCUAACCAGGGGUAUGAUGCAUGUGACUCAAAUUUGUCAUUAUGCAGGGGCCUAUAUCUAUUCUACGAAGUAUAUUUGAUGCGCAUUAAAGUUUGAAAAUUUUAAUUCAAAAUAUGCAUUAAAACCGCUGUUUGAACAAGGCAUAAGUAUCAUUUUAAAGUUACAUAUGUACGUAAGUAUCUUUGCUAGAUAUGAUGUUCAAAAAGAUUAAUCAGUUUUUUUAAUUACUGAUUAGAUCACCUGAGUGGGUAUAAGGAUUGAUAAACUAAGAUUUUGAAUUUUUAUAAAAGCUAACAGACAGAUGAAAGAGCUUGAUAAAUACCAUAAUACAGUCCAUCAUAACAUGGGUGCAUGAAAAUCAGGUUCUAGAGCAGAUAUUAAUAGGUAGAACAUUGAUGAUACGUCUUAUCUGGUAUAUGUAAGUUGUAACACCCUCUUCAUUAAUACUGUGCAUUUUGACAAAAUAGUAUAUGAAGUCCAAUGGUUCCAUUGAAUUUGAACAUAUGUUGAAUACAUAUAUAGUUAGUAGUGGUAGGGAACAGGUAUUGCUUGAAUGUGUCUACUAGAUUUCUUGUUAAAUAACCUUCACUUUAAUUUCAGUCAAACAUAAUUUUGCAUCAAAGAGAAAAAGUGGCUUUGACAUAACCUAGAAAAUACAAUAUUCAUUAAAAAGAGCAUGGCACCAGGAUAGCUAGAUGCCCAUAUUCCCAGCAAAAUGAGCCAGUCCUAAAGAGAGUCCACUAGAGAUGAAAUAAAACACAUUAAAAUGUAUUGAGAAAAGAUUUGUCAGAAUGUUAUGCAUCAUGAUCAACAGAAAAGAACUUCACAGGUAGACCAAAGCUGACAUGGGAUGAGAUCCUAAAACGAGACCUAGAGUUUAGAGGAUUGGAUAGGAUCAAUCCACUGGGUCGCCAAGUGUAGAAGUACAAACUUCAACCUCGACAGGACAGCCAGGCCUCACCCUUGCAAAACUAUUAAUUUGGCCUGGAUAGUCAAAAUGAGUGAUGAUGAUGAUAUCAAGGUCUGACACUGUAAGCUCAGUAAGGGUAGAUGCUGGCAAUGGAGCUGUUAAGCAAUACAACAAACAGGUUUAACAUUGAACAUGUUUAUAUACUUUUUUAGCUCACCUGAGCCAAAGGCUCAAAUGAGCUUUUCUGAUCACCUUUGCCUGUCGUCUGUCUCUCUGUAAACUUUUCACAUUUUCAUUUUCUUCUCCAGAGUGAACCACUGG